UAAAAUUAAUUACACCAUCCAUAUAAUGUUGGCAAUAAGGGCUGACAGUCUCUACAAAGAAACCGUAAAUUUCUUUGCUAUGGGUGAAUACUAUGA
RNAcentral lists this non-coding RNA (96 nucleotides) under uncultured Niameybacter sp. RNAcentral describes it as "Purine riboswitch". It matches the Rfam family "Purine riboswitch aptamer". From Rfam's summary of the family: Riboswitches are metabolite binding domains within certain messenger RNAs that serve as precision sensors for their corresponding targets. Allosteric rearrangement of mRNA structure is mediated by ligand binding, and this results in modulation of gene expression. A class of riboswitches that selectively recognises guanine and becomes saturated at concentrations as low as 5 nM. The record is from RNAcentral. Lineage: Bacteria; Bacillati; Bacillota; Clostridia; Lachnospirales; Lachnospiraceae.